GAUCCUGGCUCAGGAUGAACGCUAGCUACAGGCUUAACACAUGCAAGUCGAGGGGCGAGCAUGGUUCUUAGCUCGCUAAGGCCGAUGGCGACCGGCGCACGGGUGAGUAACACGUAUCCAACCUGCCGUCUACUCUUGGACAGCCUUUCUGAAAGGAAGAUUAAUACAAGAUGGCAUCAUGAGUCCGCAUGUUCACAUGAUUAAAGGUAUUCCGGUAGACGAUGGGG
This 227-nucleotide ribosomal RNA is filed under the name uncultured bacterium. RNAcentral describes it as "partial 16S ribosomal RNA". It matches the Rfam family "Bacterial small subunit ribosomal RNA", at positions 15 to 230 of the family's 1533-position model. The record is from RNAcentral.